AGUGAACGCUGGCGGUAGGCCUAACAUAUGCAAGUCGAACGGCAGCACAGUAAGAGCUUGCUCUUACGGGUGGCGAGUGGCGGACGGGUGAGGAAUACAUCGGAAUCUACUUUUUCGUGGGGGAUAACGUAGGGAAACUUACGCUAAUACCACAUACGACCUACGGGUGAAAGCAGGGGAUCUUCGGACCUUGCGCGAUUGAAUGAGCCGAUGUCGGAUUAGCUAGUUGGCGGGGUAAAGGCCCACCAAGGCGACGAUCCGUAGCUGGUCUGAGAGGAUGAUCAGCCACACUGGAACUGAGACACGGUCCAGACUCCUACGGGAGGCAGCAGUGGGGAAUAUUGGACAAUGGGCGCAAGCCUGAUCCAGCCAUACCGCGUGGGUGAAGAAGGCCUUCGGGUUGUAAAGCCCUUUUGUUGGGAAAGAAAAGCAGCAGGUUAAUACCCCGCUGUUCUGACGGUACCCAAAGAAUAAGCACCGGCUAACUUCGUG
RNAcentral lists this ribosomal RNA (492 nucleotides) under uncultured bacterium. RNAcentral describes it as "partial 16S ribosomal RNA". It matches the Rfam family "Bacterial small subunit ribosomal RNA", at positions 29 to 507 of the family's 1533-position model. The record is from RNAcentral.